GUGCUCGCUGUGACAGGCCGGAGAGCCCGAGGGGCGGGGCUGCCGGUAAAAUUGAAAAACAGAAAGGCUGUGCCUCUGGAGAAGGCGUGUUGGAGCUUGGCGGACUUUACAACCACGUGCUCGGUCGCUGGCUGCCUGCAGUGUUCUGGGGCUGUGCAGUGCUUUUGUGUCAGUGAGCCCGACCAUCCGCCUGACGGCCAAAUCCACUCCUAAACCGUGUCUCUUAGCGCUGUACGCACGUUUCCUAAACGCUUGCGGGGAUGGUGGCUCCCCUGCUUUCCUAGGGAGCCCGUCCCAAUGCCUGCUCGUUCUUUCUGUGAAGUUCUUUGUGAUCCCCACGUUGCACCUCACCUGGCACUGCCUGAUACCGUUUUCCCGAGUCCUAUGGCUUGUCGCCUGGGAGAAGAGCCAGCUCCCUGCCAUCUCCUCUGAGGGAGACGUACGGCACCUAUGCAAAUCUCAGUGAGGUCUGCUGUGGAUCCACCUUGCUGUCUGAAUGCCCUCAUGAGGAAUGGGCUUGGAAGUUCUUUUUCUCUGACACCAGAGCUCACAGCCAAGUCAUGCCAAGUCUGACCCGUGAAAGAGAAAUGGAAUAUAAGCCAUUACCCAAAGCAUCUCUCCAGCUGGACAUGAAGGUCUGCAUCAAGUAAAAAGAAACAGCUAUGACCCAACCUUUCACAGAAGAGAAUAGAAUAUAAUCAUAGACUGAUACUGGAGAUGCCAGUGUGCCUCACAGGAGAGAAAGUCUCAUUUUCUCUAGAGUUCUUGUCUGAGUCACUGGAGAUACAGGCAAGUGGGACCUGGUCAAUCUAGUAGACUUUUCUUACAAAAAUAAAAUUGAUAACUUUCUUAGUGGAUUUUAAUUCUUAAGCAGUAAGAUAGUUGAACCUGUUAUAAGUUGAUAACUGGUUAAAAUGAAUAUUUAUGAACAGAAGAACAUGAUUGAGCUAUACUGAAAUCUUCCUCCAAAAAGUUGUAGAAAGAAGUCAGCAGGCUGCCUUUUUCUUUAGAGGGCCGCCGUAACCAUAUCUGUAAGCCUAUUUAUGAAGCCUAUUUAUGCUUAUAGUCUAACUGUACCUGUAUGCAUAGAGAAAUUUUAUUUUGCCAUUGCUGCUGAGGAAAUAGAUCUGAGUGUCAUACAUCUGAUGUUUCUAGACAACUGUGUAUAAUGUCUUAUGCCAGUCAGAAAAGCCAUCUUGAGUUCUGGGAAACAUUUAAAAAGAGAUUAUGAAGAAAAAAAAGAGAAAAUAAGAGAAAAAUCAUACAUGUAAUGUUGAGGGCAACCAGAUGUGUGCAGUUCUACAAGGAUUGAUUAAAUAGUAGGAACUUCAAAAUCACAGAAUGGCGAGGAAGCAAAAAUGAUGAUGAAUUUGAAGAAAAGUCAUUGUAAAGAUAUCAUAAGUAUUGUAAAUAUGCGCUUGUAUUAGGACAGAGUCUGGACUUGAACUUUGCUAGGCAUUUGGCCAGAUUAAAGGAAAAGAUUAUUCCUUUUGUGAUUCUCAAGUUACAUUUAGAUUCUCAGCCUGCAUUCUAGAAUCUUCUGCUCAUAGUAUCUUCCUCUCUAGAGUUUCACAGAAAUGGUGAAGGUAUC
Molecule: non-coding RNA, 1591 nt
Organism: Phasianus colchicus (ring-necked pheasant)
Lineage: Eukaryota; Metazoa; Chordata; Aves; Galliformes; Phasianidae
Source: RefSeq, a predicted model, not a curated record